UUCUCGUUUUUAAUCACAAGAUCGUAACACUAUUCCAAAUUUCCCAAUCAAAAUGUGUUACGGCGGUCAACGAUUACCGUCAAAAGACGACUUAACCGACCCGACCCGACGGACCCGAACUUUACCGGCGGCGAACGAGAACGCAGUGGUGGUUGAAAAUCUUCGGGACCGGUUAGCUGAGACGGAGGCGCGGCUGGAACGAGCUAGGGCUCGGGAAGCGGAGCUGAGCCGGCAGCUGGAAGAGAUGAAGAGGUACGUCUGCGUUAUGGAAAUUCUGGAAUGUUACCUCAAGCGCCGAUACAGGGAACAGCAAGUUAGAACCCUAGCAGUGGUAAAUUCGAAGUAAAGAUGAUUUUUAUGUGGUUAAAAUGGAUUAUUAGGGUUUCGUGAUUUAUGUAAUCAUGUGUGUUGUAAUUGUAUAUUCUUCAGUGUGAUAUAGAAUUGUUAAUCUAUUGAACUUGAAAUACUCUUCAAUUUUAUUGUUCUACGUGUUAAGCUUGAUGUUAAUCUGGAUUAGAAAUUUCAAAUAGUGGAGCUAAGCAGUAUAGUAAUUUAUGGUAAGGGAAGUUCCUCGAGGUCGAGGAGCUGAAUGUAAAUUUGUUGUGCAAUGGCUUGCUG
Molecule: unclassified non-coding RNA, 618 nt
Filed under: Hevea brasiliensis (rubber tree)
Lineage: Eukaryota; Viridiplantae; Streptophyta; Magnoliopsida; Malpighiales; Euphorbiaceae
Source: RNAcentral